AACGAACGCUGGCGGCAUGCCUAACACAUGCAAGUCGAACGAGACCUUCGGGUCUAGUGGCGCACGGGUGCGUAACGCGUGGGAACCUGCCCUUAGGUUCGGAAUAACUCCCCGAAAGGGGUGCUAAUACCGGAUAAUGUCUUCGGACCAAAGAUUUAUCGCCUUUGGAUGGGCCCGCGUUGGAUUAGCUAGUUGGUAGGGUAAAAGCCUACCAAGGCGACGAUCCAUAGCUGGUCUGAGAGGAUGAUCAGCCAAACUGGGACUGAGACACGGCCCAGACUCGUACGGGAGGCAGCAGUGGGGAAUAUUGGACAAUGGGCGAAAGCCUGAUCCAGCAAUGCCGCGUGAGUGAUGAAGGCCUUAGGGUUGUAAAGCUCUUUUACCCGGGAUGAUAAUGACAGUACCGGGAGAAUAAGCUCCGGCUAACUCCGUG
RNAcentral lists this ribosomal RNA (433 nucleotides) under uncultured bacterium. RNAcentral's name for it is "partial 16S ribosomal RNA". It matches the Rfam family "Bacterial small subunit ribosomal RNA", at positions 29 to 507 of the family's 1533-position model. The record is from RNAcentral.